Long non-coding RNA from Pimephales promelas (fathead minnow), 557 nucleotides. RefSeq lists it as uncharacterized. NCBI's taxonomy places the organism in Eukaryota, Metazoa, Chordata, Actinopteri, Cypriniformes, Leuciscidae. The record is from RefSeq and is a predicted model, not a curated record.
ACUUUCUUGACAAGAGGACACUGGAAGGCCAAGUUGUGUGUGAGGAGAGCAUUCAGUCCAGCUUCCUGUCUGGCCUUGCUACUGUUCACUGCAUAUUAUUACAUAUUCAAUCAGGAGAAGCCAGCCUGCACCUUGGAGUUCAUUUAAAGAGAGGAACAAAGAAGAAAAUUGCCAUCUAAAAGGACAGGGCAAAUGGUACAGAAGAAACAGGUUGCAGUGAACCCACAUGUUGCCACUCUUCCCUGCAAAGUGGUGUGUUCAGUGGAAUUUCUGAAACCCACUCUUUGCAUCCUGUGAUGGAACAGCAUCCGGAGCUGAAUUAUUCUCCAUUUUUGAUCAUACGUUUUUUGGACUCACUUGGGGCCUUGUUGUUUGGACAUGUUUGUCUGGGAACGAAGAGGUGACAAUUCAUUCAUGUCUGUUUUUAUUUUUUAUUUUUUUCAGAACCAUUUUAUUAUGAUCAUGUUGGUCAACUUGUCGUUUUAAAUGUCAUUUGCGUAUUUCUUCUUUGUGUGAAGGGCCCUGAUGGCUUAUUUGUUUUAAGUAAUUAAAAAAAA